This is a long non-coding RNA of Lytechinus pictus (painted urchin), 4477 nucleotides long. RefSeq lists it as uncharacterized. NCBI's taxonomy places the organism in Eukaryota, Metazoa, Echinodermata, Echinoidea, Temnopleuroida, Toxopneustidae. The transcript is spliced from 2 exons. The record is from RefSeq and is a predicted model, not a curated record.
UCGACCGAUAAUUUCAGUAUCACUUCCGAGGCGAUCCGUGCAACGAUCUCCAAACGAAUGAAGGGAAGUUUUCUGUGACUUCGUGAUAUGAAGUAAGCGCUCAAUUGCUGCGGUCACAACUUUGACAAAAACACGUGUUCGCUGCUGUUCACGUUUAUGUGAAAAGUAAUGCAUUGAGGAGCAACGUAUUAUCAAGCACGGUGAAUAGCGCGCGAUGGGUACAUAUUUCCGUGGAUGGGUACGGUGAAUGCUACUCUCGCUACGCUCGCUAUAGCGGGAUAUCGAGGGCGGCUCGAUCGGGCAGGCCGGCCCUGCACUGACGUAUUUCUACUGCCGCACAGCUUGCAGGUAUUCUUUUUUCAUUUAAUGCGCUGCUAAGCUGAAUAAACCUUUUAAUCGCGCCAAUUACUGUGGAUAAAUGCUUCUAACUUUUCAGCUAAUCUUUACACUCGUGACUGUAGGCUAGACCCCUUUUUAUUUUAUGUUUACAUGUCGAUGUGGGUGCGUGCAUGUCGACAUGUCGGAAUUUUGAAAAUCCUUUGUAUGUCGACAUCAAUGUCGAUAUGAGGCCUAUCGACAACAGCACUAGUUUUCAUUGAUUUUAUGUUGAAUAUUAUUAAAGAAUAUGACUCUUUGCACCUGAAUUGUAACACUGAAAUAUGGAAAUGAAGAAGUUUUAUCAUCAUGUAUUUUUAUUAAUCUGCAAAUAAAAUUUUACUAUGUCACUCAAAUUCAUUUCAUUUCAUUAAAGAUUCAAAGAGGGAUCUCUGGAUGAUCGAGCAACAAGUCCAGCAUUAUGUGGGAAAGAUACUACAGGUGUACACAGAAAAGGCCAUGAUCAUGUACAAGACACGGUUGGAGUUCAUAAAAGAUUAAGCUGCCUCGUGCUAUACAGACGUGGAUAAAAACAAGCUGUCCAAUGAAUGGUGACUACUCAAGAGGAGCCAGAAAGUCAACUAAGGCCAGGGUAUUUUGGGAGUUGAUAUGGCCGGGGAAGGGGGGGAGGGGUUUCCAGGGCCCCCCCCCCCCUCCCUUGAGAUCUCGACCGCACAAUCGCGUCUUACAUGGGCACAUGGGUUGUCUAGGGCAUAAUUUACAAAAUUAGAUUGUAAAUUAUUUCACGCAAAUUGUUAUUAAGUGAUAAUACUAAUUUAUGCGUAAUUAGAAUACAAAAUCAUACUUUUUCCUCUAUUGCAUUGACUUUGUACACAAAAUCACGUUUUUGAGCAAUUUUUGGUAUGACAUGUACUUACAUAAUGUCACGUUAUUACAGAACCACGUACCGGGUGACACAAGAUUGGUCUCAAAAGAUGCACAAGACUAGAAAGAGGCAUGUUUUAAAAAAAUUGUGCGACAGCAUGGUCGCAAAAUUUUUGGAAGGGGGGGGUCAAAUUGGUCCAAUUUAACUGAGGGUUAAUAACUGGGAGGCUGUUAGCUGCCUUUUUACUUUCAAGUCUUGCACAUCUUUUGAGACCAAAUUUGUGAUGCCUGGGUACGCUGUUCCGAAAUUUUGCAACAUUUUUAUGUAUUAAUCCAACACAAAUACUGUUUCUUGCUAAAAAUUCACAAUUAGUAUAUCAGUAAUAUACAUUUAUCAAGAUUAAAGUCAAAUUAUUUAAUUACAUUUAUAAUCAUAAAAACUUUGAUAAAGUAUAAAAAAAAACCAAAGAGUUGUAUGUAGGCCUGGGACUUUCGGGUUUUUUCUCUUCGGGUACCCGUGGUAAUUUUCGGGCGGGUACCCGAAAAUCAUGUCACUUGAAAUAUGACUGGUGGAAAAACCCCAUAGGUGACGUCAUCAAGCCAAUGCGAUGCAAGCCAAUUUAUGAAUGAAAAUAUAGUAAGCAUGCGCAUUGCAAGCCUCCCGUGCCCCACGCAGUAUUCAAUCGAAACAAUUAAGUUUCAAUACUCUGUCACCUCGUACCAAAAUCGACCUAGAAUUCCACUUUCCUAUAUUUCAUAUGAAUUAUAAAAGGUUUUCUCACCGAUACUGCACAGGUAAGCAAAUUUUUAUUACUUCUUGCUUUUCCGUCAAAAUCUUACGAAGUAGCGUCGAUAUUACAUCGUGUUCGUGAGUUUGUAUCGCUACGUGAACAAAGUCAAUUGAUUUCAGGGUUUCGGAGCGUCAAAUGCGCCAGCCAAUCACGAUCGUGUUCCCAUUUUCGGUUUAUGAUGAACUAAAAAUGGUAACAAGAACGUGAUUGGCUGGCGCUUCGUAGGUUGAUUUUGGUAUGAGGUGACGGAGUAUUGCAGACUUGUUUUGACGGAAUACUGAGUGGGGCUGAGGCUUGCAAUGCGCAUGCUUACUAUAUUUUCAUUCAUAAAUUGGUUUGCGUCGCAGUUGCUGGAUGACGUCACUGCGCUGCAAAAGAAACAUGGCGAUGAUUGAACGAUCUCGGUCACAUCAUCAUCACUUGAAAACUUGUAUAUUUAUGGAUAUUUAGAGGGUAAUUGGUGAAAUUCAAAAUGAGGCUUGUGUACUUUUGUGAUGAGUUACAAUCAUGUCUUACACUACGCAAUACAAAUCAAAUACAUGUACAUUAUACUGGUGAGCAAUUUUCGGGUAUCGGGUAUUGAUUUUUCUACCCGGGUACCCAAGGCUUCCGGGCGGGACCCGGGUACUCGGGUUUUAGUCCCAGCCCUAGUUGUAUGAAAAUUUUCAAAAAUAAUGAAAGGUAAAAGAAAACAAGAUUACAAUGUCCAUUGCAAGGGGGCUAGUCUAUUCAGGAUAAUUGGGAUUUUAUUUAGUUUUUAAUUGACAUAACAUUAUGACAAGAUCCCUCCAUUUAGUGUAUAAACAGCACAUGGCCAUGAUUGAAAUUCAUAUAACAUUAAAGUAAGCAAACCAGGCAGCUACAUGUACAUGUAGGACUCACUGCUUGUCAAUUCUAUUGUCUGCCAGGGUCAAGUGACAUACAGUGCACAUGUAUAACGUGUGUGAAAGUACAUAAGAAAAUCAGCUUUUUAUUUUUGUACUGUAACAUUGGGUGAACUGGUGAUCACUUUGGAUAUGAUGCUCUUCAUAUUGGUUUAUUUUAUGUAUAUGAAUUUUUGGAUAAUCAUUAAGAAUUAAAGCUAUUUACUUAAUAUAUGGAAGCAUAAGCCCAUCAAAAAACAGAAUUAUGUCAUGUACAGCUAAUUCAUUUUGCGUGAUAUUACAAUUGUAAUUGUUUACUUGAGCAAGUAAUUUGAAUUGCUGCAUGACCUAAACAAUAACAUGUUCCAAUUCGAAUAGUAACAUGACCUAAAGAAGAGUUACUCCACGUCGAUUGAGAGUGCUUAUGUUAAAUAAUUGAUGUUGCUACUUCAAAUAAUUGAGGUCAAUCAAAUUGGUCAAUUUUGAGCUAUAUGUCAUAAUUAAUUAGGUCAUAUACUAAUUGAAAUUACUAAAUGGCUCGAGUAGGUAUGAAUUCACGUUGCCACAUGACCUUAAUUAUUUUAUGUAGCAACAUCAUGUAUUGAACGUCAUUUAGUUAUCAAUUAUGACAUGUAGCAAAUCAAAUUACAUGCCGCAAUUUCGUGUUUAUGAUGGGCUCAUGCUUACAUUCAUAUAUAACCCUUCAAUACGUAGUUGGAGCAAUUCUUAGACAAGAAGACUGUGUAAAACAAUGAUAUGCCUAUUCAAUGUCAAAAAGGUUAAUGUCUCAAUAGAUUUGAUCUACGUUUUGGCAAAGUAAUCUUAUGUUCAUAUUUUUUCUAACCUAUGGUGAACAUUCUAAAUCAUGUGAAAUUCAUUCAAAAAUAUCUUUCAGUAUUUAUGGACUUAAGUGAAUUCUAAGCAAAAUGAAGUGAUUAUGAUUACGUUCAUGUACUUUAAGUUUAUACUGGUGAUCAACACAUCAUAAUUUCAUCCCUUACUGUAUGUGCACCAUGCACAUGCAUUAUCUGUACAUGCAGAAGUGGUUAUCCAUUGUUUCAUAACAUGGUUGAGUAAAGGAUGUUCUGCUUUUAGUAUUAAGCCAAUCGGGUGUUGACAAGAAGGGGAAAAUGCAAUUGCUCAGCUAUUACAGGUUUUUUUGCAACCAUAAUACUGGUUAAGCCUUGGUUACAUUCGCCGGCUCGUGGCCUUACGUCGAGUCAAAAUUAGCAGUUUUAAUCAUCCUUGUACCAGCUACUACCAGCUACACGUGGGUGGUUUGUACAGGAAUACCUAAAACUGCUGAUUUUGUCUCGCCGUAAGGCAACCGGUCAAGGAAUGUGACCAAGGUAUUAAUAAUAAUCGCUUAAUGUUGUGUUAGAGGGAAGGAUUCUGGGUCGAAUCUAGCUUUCUUUAUGUGAUCUCAAAAUGGCAGCAAUGUAUGAAUAGUGAAAGUAGUUCAUGUGGCAUCUCAAUGUUGGUGGAUAUAAAUCUUUGUACAUGUAUUAUCCUAAAGAUGAAAUGUUACUGCAUUAUUCUAGCAGUCAUUUAUGAUAUCAAAGAUGUUCUAUACUGUGCAUAGUACAACUCAUACAUAAUAAAGGUAUGUGAAUAUGCUUUUAA